Molecule: transfer RNA, 60 nt
Filed under: Eulimnogammarus vittatus
Lineage: Eukaryota; Metazoa; Arthropoda; Malacostraca; Amphipoda; Eulimnogammaridae
Description: tRNA-Arg
Source: RNAcentral
AAAACUGAAGUAACUCAUACAUUUGACUUCGACCCAAAUAAUGGCCUAAGCCCUGUUUUA